Molecule: ribosomal RNA, 444 nt
Filed under: uncultured bacterium
Lineage: Bacteria
Description: SSU rRNA
Rfam family: Bacterial small subunit ribosomal RNA
Source: RNAcentral
AGAGCGAACGCUGGCGGCAGGCCUAACACAUGCAAGUCGAGCGCCCCGCAAGGGGAGCGGCAGACGGGAGAGUAACACGUGGGAACGUACCCUUCAGUUCGGAACAACCCAGGGAAACUUGGGCUAAUACCGGAUACGUCCGUAAGGAGAAAGAUUUAUCGCUGAAGGAUCGGCCCGCGUCUGAUUAGCUAGUUGGUGAGGUAACGGCUCACCAAGGCGACGAUCAGUAGCUGGUCUGAGAGGAUGAUCAGCCUCACUGGGACUGAGACACGGCCCAGACUCCUACGGGAGGCAGCAGUGGGGAAUAUUGGACAAUGGGCGCAAGCCUGAUCCAGCCAUGCCGCGUGGAUGAUGAAGGCCCUAGGGUUGUAAAGUCCGUUUCGGCGGGGAAGAUAAUGACGGUACCCGCAGAAGAAGCCCGGCUAACUUCGUGCCAGCAGCCGC